Molecule: ribosomal RNA, 578 nt
Filed under: Boana dentei group sp. ABGD cluster 31
Lineage: Eukaryota; Metazoa; Chordata; Amphibia; Anura; Hylidae
Description: partial large subunit ribosomal RNA
Rfam family: Bacterial large subunit ribosomal RNA
Source: RNAcentral
CAAAAACAUCGCCUCUUGAUCAAAAUAUGAGAGGUCCAGCCUGCCCAGUGACCUAGUUCAACGGCCACGGUAUCCUGACCGUGCGAAGGUAGCGUAAUCACUUGUUCUUUAAAUGGGGACUAGUAUGAAUGGCAUCACGAGGGUUAAACUGUCUCCUUUUUCUAAUCAGUGAAAUUAAUCUCCCCGUGAAGAAGCGAGGAUAACUUUAUAAGACGAGAAGACCCUAUGGAGCUUAAAACGAAUUUACACCUGCUUUUUAUUUAUUUCACUUCCCGAAUUUGCACAAACAUUAUAGCACAAUUGACAUGUAGUUUUCGAUUGGGGUGAUCCUGGGGUAAAAAAUAACCCCCAGGACGACAAAGGGCCACCCUUGAGCCAAAAGCCACAACUUUAAGCACUAAAAAAUUAACGCAACUUGACCCAAUUAUUUGAGCAACGAACCAAGUUACCCUAGGGAUAACAGCGCAAUCCACUUCAAGAGCUCAUAUCGACAAGUGGGCUUACGACCUCGAUGUUGGAUCAGGGUAUCCCAGUGGUGCAGCCGCUACUAAAGGUUCGUUUGUUCAACGAUUAAAACC